GCGGGUGUAGUUUAGUGGUAAAACCAUAGCCUUCCAAGCUAUCGUCGCGAGUUCGAUUCUCGUCACCCGCU
Aerococcus viridans is the source of this 71-nucleotide non-coding RNA. The record is from Rfam. NCBI's taxonomy places the organism in Bacteria, Bacillati, Bacillota, Bacilli, Lactobacillales, Aerococcaceae.